Paramuricea clavata is the source of this 11186-nucleotide non-coding RNA. The record is from the annotation of a GenBank genome assembly. NCBI's taxonomy places the organism in Eukaryota, Metazoa, Cnidaria, Anthozoa, Malacalcyonacea, Plexauridae.
UAGCAACAAAAUGAAACCAAAAUGGCGAGAAUUUCUUGUCCUGAAAAUAUAAAUGAAUUGAGAAGAAAAUACAUAAUUAUUUGCUCAAUGUUAACAUAAACUAUAGUAAGAACAAACAAGAAAGGUGUAGUUUUAUUUAAGGUACAGUAUUUUACUAUUUUUGUUUUAGCAUGUUUAUUUAUUGGUGUAGUUUUAUGUCACGAUCUACUAGAAAAACAUUACAAAUUUUGUGUGACAGUGGCAGUUCACAGUUUGGUCAAGUACUCAUGUUUCAAAUUUGAAAAUAUUAUAUUUAGAAAAGAUGGAUGAUAAUUCUUUAAUAAAUACAAUAUCAAUUUCGCAUAAUAAUUUUAAAACGUGUCAAUUGAUGAUGAGUAUUUUUCAUGGUCAAUAAAUUUACAUGGAAACCACUGGCCCUGUGCCAAGGCAUGUCUGGUGGGAAAUGUUUCUUAAUUUUACAGUGCGUCUACUGUAAGUGGGGCCACUUAGAGAACACUAACCAAUCACAUUGCAGCACAGAAAGUGAAAAAAUCAACAAACGGCGCAUUAGCCAAUCAGCAUUAGGACAAAAACAAUUCGAACAAAUAAACGAAUGGCAAACGGUAAAAAUAGACAUGUAAAAGUAAACAUUGCAGUUAAUGGCUUCCUGAAUCUUUCUUUUGAUUGGACGAGCUUUAGUUUGAUUAGAUUUUUCUUUCUGUUCUGCAAUGUGAUUGGUUAGUGUUCUCUAAGUGGCCCCACUUACAGUAGAUGCACUGUAACUAUAUAUUUUCUAUCACGGGUACUUUACAGUUUACUGUACCCAUGUACCGCAAGUAUUUGAUGGUGUGUGUUCUGAUGGCGAGUUUCCCUGUUCUUUUAUUGCGAGUUUCCCAUAGAAAUAUUAGACCUAGAAUGCGUGCUUGGUCACGUGACCGGUGUCCAAACUGAAAACAAAAAUGCCCUUAUAAAUCCGCCAUGUUGAAUUUGAGUAGGAGUGCAAACUACAAAGUAUAAACAAAACUAAAACUAUAAAGUUUUCAUCGUCAAAACGUUUGGUAUUUGUAGUUUGGGGAUAGAAUUUGAAAUAUUAAGUUCUUUAAAGGCUCAAAGCAAAUGUGCCGUUACAAAAACGGUGAAAAUCGAGCAGCCUUGUAUAAAAAACAAGUAGUUUUUUUGUGUAGUUUCGCGUAUAAAAUAUAACUUACUCAUAAAACAUUUUUGCAAGCUCUGAACGUAACUGUUUUGCUAAUACUUUAUAAAAUUACGAGAUGAUAGUUCAUUCUUCGUCGGGUUUUGUUUUUCUUCAAUCUAAACGAAGUGUUUUCAUGUUUUUGAAACAAAAAUAUUUAGUUGUUGAUAUUUAAAACUGUAAAUCGCCUAAAUGAUCGUCGAAAACAUAUGGUUUCAAAAGCGUUGCCUCAAGCUCAAGCAACGUAUAAAAAAGUAUAAAAGUAGUUGUGUAAGUUUAAAAAGAUUAUUGAACUCUAUUUAUAUUAUAAAACAGUUGAAAUAUAUUUUUUAAAACAUACCUAUUGAGUUUCAGUUUGUCUUGAUUUUUCGUGUUUUGUUUUGGCUUGCACAACAACGUUGAAAAUGUAUUUUGAAACGACGAUUUCUCUAUAUAUUCUGUUCAGAACUAUUGCUCUUCGUAAAAAAACCCAUGGGAAUGGGUUUUUCUCCAUUAAAAACACUUUUUUCCACUUCAAGUCUGGAUAGAAUUGUUUUUGCAAACUUUGUUGAAAAAAACAAUUCGCACUCCCGGCACCGCGCGAAAUUCCACGCCACAGGAGUCUGGGACUAGCCAAAAUGCCCUUAUAAAUCCGCCAUUUUGUGGAGACAAAAUUUUUACUGAGAAGAGAUAGGAGCACGCAUUCUAUGUCUAUUAUUUCUAUGGAGUUUCCCCAUUCUUUUAUCGCGUGUCCGGUACGGUAAAGUGUAAAAUUUCCCCUAUCACUUAGUACAUUGUUAUAUCCGGCACAAAAGAAUGGUUAAUUCCAUAUGCAUAUGGUUGGAUAUUCAGCCUGCACUAAAUAAUUAGGUCAGAUAAAUAGCAGUUACAUGUUACUAGCAAAUAUUCUUUGAAUGUUUCAUGGAAAAUAUCCACCUUUUUGAAAAAUAAUGCUAAAUUUACAUACUGCAAUUUGUCUGUCCAAUUUUUAGUUUUAUUCCCGGCAUAAAGUGGAAAAACCAGAGUCUGGUUAAAAUCGAAUCUUUACUUAGGCAAAAUUAAUGUCUGCUUCAUGCCCCCAUGUCUUUUCCACAAUUCCUUGAUUCUAGGCCUUUCUGUGCAGAAAAUUCUUGCAAUAGACAUUUCUUAUAAUGACAUCAAACGUAGACAAACACUUAAGGUUACAGAACACCUUUGAGUGUUAAUUUUGCCUAAAUUUUUUUUAUUGGUUUCCAUGAAAGCAUUAGACUAGUUCUACUACCUGACCAAGUUUGAACGAAAAAUGUUGAAAACUCGCAUUGUUAUUUAAUAAAAUACAUUUCGCUGCAAUAAGAAAAACAUUGAAAAUGUAAUAUUCAAAUUCAAUUUUCUCCCGAAGAAUUUUACGGCAAUUACUGAUUUUCAAACGAGUUGUGCUCCUGCGGGUUUUAACGAAUUUCUCUCAAAUUUUCACAGGACAUAGCUAAAGACGUCAGUUUCAAAACUGUGUUCGGCUUUGUUCUAAUUUUGGAUAUUUUAAUAAUAAAGAGCAAUUCACUCAAACAAUUCAGAAAUAUAUUGCAGUCGUCAAAGAAAUCGCCAUAUCAGCGGAAUGACGAAAUAAACAAAAAUUUCCGAAGCACAGUUUUUUAGAACAACUAUUUUACUGUUUAAAAAUGGUAUUUUCAUAAAUAUAACUUAAAACCAGCAGGAGCACAACUCAAAAGCGUCACGGUACUGCGAUUUAAGAUUUUCCUGAAUAAUUCUUACAUUAUUUUAUUGUUUGUUAAUUUUAUAACUUUACCAUAUUUUGCAUGCACUGGCGAACAUUUGGUGAAAAUUUGAUGAAAAUCGGACUGAUUUUGAGCGCGCAGUACUUUAGCGAUUUUCCGCAAAACGCCAAAAAGGGUGUCCUGUAACCUUAAUGCAAUGUCCCACACUGCAAAAAAUUCUGAGUAGAAUCCACUCAAAAAAUUGAGUAAAUGAAUGCACCCACAGUGACACAAAAUAGUGAGUAAAACUACUCAUAAAAUGUGAGUAAUAUUUACUCAAAUUUUUGAGUUUAUUUACUCAAAAAACUGAGUUGAAAGUACUCAAGUUAUACACAUUUACAGUUACUCACGGUAGGAGUAAACAAUAAAUUACUCAAACUUUGAGUAAACGUACUCAAAACGUGAGUAAUUUUACUCGAAAUUUGAGUAUUUUUACUCAAAAAAAGAGUUCUAGUUACUCAAAUAAAAUGCACCCAUAGUGACUCCUUAUUUUGAGUAAAUGUACAGUUUACUCAAACUUUGAGUAAAUUUACUCAAACUUUGAGUAUGUUUACUCAAAAAAAGAGUUCUAGUUACUCAAUAAAAUGUACCCAUAGUGACUCGUUAUUUUGAGUAAAUGUACAGUUUACUCAAACUCUGAGUAUUUUUACUCAAAAAAGAGUUCUAGUUACUCAAAUAAAAUGCGCCCGAAAUGACUCUCUAUUUUGAGUAAAUGUACAGUUUACUCAAACUUUGAGUACAUCUACUAAAAAAUGCUCCAGUUACUCUAUGAACAAGUGGUGUGUCACUGUCAAACCAUAACAUUGAGUAACUAAUUAAAGUAGCAGACAAAAGUACUCCACAGUGUGCCACAGCAAGGAACAAAAGUACUCCACAGUGUGUUACUUUGAGAAACAAAAAUAAUUAUAUAUACUAUUAAUCGUCAAUAGAAUUAUGCAAGCACAAACAAUAUUUUUUGAAGAAUAAACGUUUAUAAUUAUUAAAACCCCCCACAACUCAACAAGAUUUUUAAAAUUAUUACUCUAGUACACUGAACUAUAUGUAUACAUGGAUGGAAGGUUAUUACUUUAGUGACUUUAGCCAAAAUGGCGGCUCGAUCGCGAAGUCAUUCUCGGACGUCAAUUUUAUAAUAAGUUCCAGACUUUACUGUAAUAGUUUCAGUUGGCAGGUUUCAGUUCGUUUGAGCUGAUAAACCUUCAAUGUACAGUAUAUAUAGUUCAGUUGUACUGUAAUACAUGCAUCUACAUACACCAAUUGAAAAAUGAAAUAUAAAGUCUUAAAAGAUCAAAGAGGUAAGAUAAAACAGUCUUAAUAUAUAUAUAUAUAUAUAUAUAUAUAUAUAUAUAUAUAUAUAUAUAUAUAUAUAUAUAUAUAUAUAUAUAUAUAUAUAUAUAUAUAUAUAGUGUUUAAUUAAGGCCAUGAGGCAAUUUUUGGUGCAACUUCCAAUGCAACUUCUGGCAUAUAUAGCAAUGUUAUGUAAAACGUAAUCAGAGUAAAUUUAAGGUCGCUGAAUCUCAGUUAAUACUUUUUAUGUGAUGUUAUUAUAAAUAUACUGUACAUCAAUCUAUGUGGCAGAAGUUGCAACAAAAAUUGCCUCGUGUAAGAUUGCUUAAAAUGGCUAUAGCACAUUUUAAUACUUAGCAGUUUCAAUCAUCAUCUCCGAUCAUAAUUGUAUUGAGCUUGUUCACAAAGGUUAUCACAGAAGUCAGUAGCUUCUUGCUGUUGUUUAUGUUUAUGUUUAGUAGCUUUAGUACACACGACUACCUGGGUACUGUCCAUAUAAGUACAUAAUUUGUAGCCACGAAUGCCACAGCUACAUCUACCAGCCAUCUUCAGAAGAUAUAAAGGACCAUGGUUUCGGCAACAACGGCCAUCAAUCUCGUUGCAGUCGUUGCAGUUUUCAAUGUUUCUCUUUACCAGAAUUUGGGAGGUUACCAUGCAUAUUACAAGCUGACAGCAUCCUCAAAGCUUUCAUCCUUAUGCCAAAAUAAGAAAUGUAAUGAGAUUAUACACAUUUAAUUUUUAUUUACAGCAUGCCUGGCACAAGCAUGCAGUAUAUAUAAGGCCAAAUUAAUUAAAUAAAAACUUGGCAUCACCGCCCGCCUCUCGAUUUCUGCUGCCUCUUUUUUAUGUAAAUCUCUUCGUUUUACAGCUUAAACAGUUUAAUAUUUGAAUUUUUUUUCAUGCUCAGACCUUCGCGCUAUAUACUGAUCGAUAGGAGCGUGUGGGCUUGGGUAUACAGAAUUCUUAUAGUAAAAUGGCGCCCUUCGCAACAUCAGUACAAAGAAUUUCACCGAUAUGGUAGAAAAACCGCCCCCAUCCCCCUUUAAAAAUUUAAAAAUGAGUAAAAAUUUAAAAAACACUGCCCGCCCGCCUCUGAAAAUUUGUGAGAAUGUGACGCUAACCAAAUAUUUUUUUCAUUUGGCCUAAGCACAGGUUCGCAGAAGCUAGCUUCACCAUUCCCCCAAUGGGCAAACCCAUGUAGUAAUUGUUUCUUACUGAGUUAAUACUUAAUGAAUUAAUAUAAGUAAAAAUAUAUAUAAUUUAUAUACAAGUACAUUUUAGUUCAUGAAAUGCUAAAAACUCCUGAAUGCUAAAAUAUAUCUUUCAUUUGCUACCGGUAUACACAGUAUUUGACUAUGCAAAAUAGAAAAUUGUCAAUAUUUAUACAGAAGGUAUAUGUCCAUGCAUCUCCCCUUUCAUGAGCAUGCAGCUUGUUUGACCAUGACACUCAAAAGUGGUGCUGGUAAAAGGUGGCAAGUACCAGCCUUACAAAACAACAGUAAACUGCAUCAGCAUAUAUUUGUUCCCGCUGAUAGAUGGCUUUAAGAUGUGCCAGCUGAGUGAGCUAUUGGUCAAAGGCGGCAAGUACCAGCCUUACACAAAAGCUGAAAACAGCGCUACUAAAUAAAGAUCAAAAUUCAAAACAAACUGUAUUGUUGUUUAAGUUCAUUUCCUUUGCUGUUUUAACUCGCAUGUUCAUUUUUGUUUAAUAUAAGUAAAAAUAUAUAUAAAGUAUUAUGCAAGUACAUUUUGGUUCAUGCAAUAUGCUAAAAAGUGCUAAAUAUCAUAUAGAUAGAGCAAAAUAUACUGUAUGUAUAUAUAUAUAUAUAUAUAAUGCUAACCUACUGUUUCUUUCAUUUGCUAUAUCUUUGACCAUGCAAAAUAGAAAAUUGUCAAUACAGAAGGUAUACAUUCAUGCAUCUCCCCUUUCAUGAGUGGCUUGUUUGACCAUGCCACUCAAAAGAAGUGCUGGUAAAAGGCAGCAAGUACCAGCCUUACACAACAACAGUCAACUGCAUCAGCAUGAAUGUAUACAAGCUUUGAAUUAUGUCAUAGCAGUUCCCACUGACAGGUGGCUCUAAGAUGUGCCACCUGAGUGAGCUAUUGGUCAAAGGCGGCAAGUACCAGCCUUACACAAAAGCUGAAACAAGCACUACUAAGAUCAAAAUUCAAAACAAACUGUAUUGUUAUUUAAGUUCAUUACCUUUGCUGUUUUAACUCACAAGUUCAUUUUGUCUAAUAUAAGUAAAAUUGUAAUUAUUGUAAUAAAUUGUAAUAUAUAUAAUUUAUAUACGAGUACAUUUUGGUUCAUGAAAUGCUAAAAAGUGCUAUUUUUAAAUUAUCAUAUAGAUAGAGGAAAAUAUACUGCAUGCAUGUGUAUAUACUAACCUACUGUUUCUUUCAUUUGCUAUAUAUUUGACCAUGUUGCAAAAUAGAAAAUUGUCAAUAUAGAAGGUAUACAUUCAUGCAUCUCCCCUUUCAUGAGCGGCUUGUUUGACCAUGCCACUCAAAAGAAGUGCUGGUAAAAGGCAGCAAGUACCAGCCUUACACAACAACAGUAAACUGCAUCAGCAUGAAUGUAUACAAGCUUUGAAUUAUGUCAUAGCAGUUCCCACUGACAGGCGGCUCUAAGAUGUGCCACCUGAGUGAGCUAUUGGUCAAAGGCGGCAAGUACCAGCCUUACACAAAAGCUGAAAACAGCACUACUAAGAUCAAAAUUCAAAACAAACUGUAUUGUUAUUUAAGUUCAUUACAUUUGCUGUUUUAACUCACAAGUUCAUUUUGUCUAAUAUAAGUAAAAUUGUAAUUAUUUAAUAUACCGUAUAAAAUUUAUAUACGAGUACAUUUUGGUUCAUGAAAUGCUAAAAAGUGCUAUUUUUAUAUUAUCAUAUAGAUAGAGGAAAAUAUACUGCAUGCAUAUGUAUAUACUAACCUACUGUUUCUUUCAUUUGCUAUAUAUUUGACCAUGAUGCAAAACAGAAAAUUGUCAAUACAGAAGGUAUACAUUCAUGCAUCUCCCCUUUCAUGAGCGGCUUGUUUGACCAUGCCACUCAAAAGAAGUGCUGGUAAAAGGCGGCAAGUACCAGCCUUACACAACAACAGUAAACUGCAUCAGCAUGAAUGUAUACAAGCUUUGAAUUAUGUCAUAGCAGUUCCCACUGACAGGUGGCUCUAAGAUUUGCCACCUGAGUGAGCUAUUGGUCAAAGGCAGCAAGUACCAGCCUUACACAAAAGCUGAAAACAGCACUACUAAGAUCAAAAUUCAAAACAAACUGUAUUGUUAUUUAAGUUCAUUACCUUUGCUGUUUUAACUCACAAGUUCAUUUUGUCUAAUAUAAGUAAAAUUGUAAUUAUUUAAUAUACCGUAUAUAAUUUAUAUACAAGUACAUUUUGGUUCAUGAAAUGCUAAAAAGUGCUAUUUUUAAAUUAUCAUAUAGAUAGAGGAAAAUAUACUGCAUGCAUAUGUAUAUACUAACCUACUGUUUCUUUCAUUUGCUAUAUAUUUGACCAUGAUGCAAAAUAGAAAAUUGUCAAUACAGAAGGUAUACAUUCAUGCAUCUCCCCUUUCAUGAGCGGCUUGUUUGACCAUGCCACUCAAAAGAAGUGCUGGUAAAAGGCGGCAAGUACCAGCCUUACACAACAACAGUAAACUGCAUCAGCAUGAAUGUAUACAAGCUUUGAAUUAUGUCAUAGCAGUUCCCACUGACAGGUGGCUCUAAGAUGUGCCACCUGAGUGAGCUAUUGGUCAAAGGCGGCAAGUACCAGCCUUACACAAAAGCUGAAAACAGCACUACUAAGAUCAAAAUUCAAAACAAACUGUGUUUAAGUUCAUUACUAUUGCUGUUUUAACCCACAAGUUCAUUUCUAUUAAUAAAUCCUACUGUUUCCUCCUUUACUGUAUUUCGACUAUGCAAAGUUAAAAAUCAUGCACCCCCCCCCCAUCUGAGUCAAAGAUUUCAUGUAGAAAACUGUGGAAAAGAGACUUUCAGAGUCAACUUUUAAGGCCAACCAUACCUCUCAUACAUGUUACAGUAGAUAUAGUAGCUGCUGCGUGAUCAUUGGAUCACCGUUCUGCAUAACCUGCUAUAUUAUUGACUUAAUUCCAGCUCAGACAAGCUGUUUUAAAAAUAUGAAAGUAAAACCAACCUUGAUCGUUGAGCCAGGCUUGUCCAUCAAUCAUAUUGUCUAAAAAAUCAGUGAAUGUCAUCUUAAUUAUUCUUUUCAUAUUUCCCUUUAGUUUCUGAAUGGCGAAUAACAGUUUUACCAUGCAUUCGUAAUAGGUGUCAAGUUUUAGCGUUACAAUAUAAAGCCAACAUAGUAUAGGAUGAAUAUUAUUGCCUUCCUAUCUGCAUAUAAUUUGGAAUUUAGCCGUUGGCGAGCAAUUGAAAAUAAUUUUCACAUUGGGGAACAAUAGCUACUCACAUAUUGUCACAUGCAACCCUUUGUUAUAUAAUAAACGUUAUAAACCUGGGCAUAAUAUUUACACUCAGUCUUUCUGAUCAAUCUGAUGUCUGGCAAUGAUCAUAUUACUAACAGCAAAUUUCGCACGAAUGGUGACCGGCAACAUACUGUAUUCAAAAGAAGGAUUUUACGCGCAAACACCAUAAUCAAUGCUGUACAGUUAAAUAGCACCUAGCGUUUACAUUAUUUAAUAGAUUGGGUCACAGUGCGGUGAACAUAUACUGAAAAUCUGCAGAAGAUAGUGCCGGUGUCCCAGGAUUUUCGCCCCCCCCCCUGGGGGGCGAAAAUCCUAGGAAAUUCGCCCCCCUUUAGGAAAUUCGCCCCCCUUUAGAAACUUCACCUUUUCUUUAGGAUUUUUGUCCUCCGUUCAGAAGUUCGACCUUCCUAACAGUUGCAUGGGAUAAUUAUUACAUGGCUUUAGUCAUUUGAAAUCAGUAUCAAUUCAAAAUUGUUAAGACAGAGCUUGAAAUAACAACCGAUCAAUGAUCGGCAUGGAAUUGAUUAUGAUCCGCGGAAAAGCAGGGUUUCGGUUUCCAACCUGAAAAAAUCAGGGAAAGUCAUGAUCGAGAACUUUGGGAACGUUAUUUCAAGCCCUGUAAGAAUACAAAUUUACAAUUACAUGUAUCGAAAGGGCUUACACAGUUCACAGUUAAUAGACUAAGACUUAUGACGCUUCACAGCACACCAUGCAUAUUUUGCAUUUUCAGUGUUAAUCGUUAAACUCAUUGUUAAAAAGUAAUCACCGUGGUGGUUAUUGUCAUUAUUGGUAUUGUUUUGCAUCCACAUUUUGUCGUUAUCGGAAAAUGUAUGGCUUACAAGUUGUCACUAUUUUUUACUUGCAUUAUUUCAAUAUAGUUUGUAAAUUUCAGAAGCGAAGGUAGAACUUGCCAAUAAGCAAUACUCCAAUAAUAUACGUUCAAAAAAGACAAAAAAGCUUUUAGUUUUGCAGAGUUUAAGGCAUUGAUAAAAUCAAAGUAUCAUGAAACAUGAAAUUAUUUGAAUAAACCACACCACAUAUAUAUAAUGCAAUUUUCUUUGCGGAAGUUAAAAAUCAAGAUUACAUCACUGACACUGACAUGGAAAGUUGACGAUUCAAUGGACAAUAGUCAAUACGCUUCCCAACAAAUUCCAUAGAUUUUUUAUUAAUCCUAUAGUUUAUUGUUAGCAUGGAAGUGAUUAAUGUGGCGGCUAUUGUUAACAUUGGUAUUGAUAAAAUUUGCAAGCGAUUGUUUUUAUAAUAUGUUAUGUGAAUGUAACUGCCAGAAGAAUACGACAACAUGAUUUUAUGAGAUCUCUGUGGGCAAUGGUUCCACUUUAGAUGUGUAGAAUAUGACACUAGUCUAAGUACCUCAAAUGAGUGGUUAUGCAGACUGUGCACACCACCAGCUGCUAAGAAGCCUAAAAUGUGUAUGUGAUUUUGUCUCCUUGUAAUAAAUAAAUAAAUCACACAAUAAAUCUUUUCAACUUGCAAUCGUUUUGUUUUUAGAUCAAAAAUUCAAAAUUUAUAUGGGGGGCGAAAUUCCUAAAGGGGGGCGAUAUUCCUAGGAGAUUCGCCCCCUGGGGGGCGAUAUUCCUAGGAGAUUCGCCCCGGGGGGGGCGAAUAUCCUAGGAAUAUCGCCCCCCUUUUGAGAGGGGGGGCGAAUCUCCUGGGGGGGCGAAUCUCCUGUGACACCGGUACAUAUGACACACCGGAGGCGUUUCAAAAACGCGGCGCGAUUUUUGAAUUUUCAAAGUAAAUGAAACCGCUAACGAAAGGAACGUUUAAAAUAUAUAUACCAAAUGGCUCAAUAUGUUAGAGCGCAAUAUUUGAAAAACUUAAAUCCGGAUCAAAGUUACAUAUAUGUCAAUGAGAAUCGAAAUGAAUGAAUGCCGAAUUGCGUCGUCUGUCUGCUCGCGGCACAAUAUGCCAAUCGUAGAACAUACCUUUAAAACUUUCACAGUAGUCGGCAAAGUCAACUUUGAUCAACCACUCUCGAACGUCUUUCUUUAACAUCUUCAAUAAAUAAAUUCUUGUUGUGUUCAACAAAAAUUAGAUGACUCGAGCGCCUUUACAGUGAACACCAGAGUGAACACAUUGACUGACCGUGGACCGACAGAUUGACAGAAUAUAGGAUGCAAUUUGACUAUGCCGCGUUUACAGCCCGCAUGGAUUUCUCCGUCGAUGAUUGGUUAAUGGCUGGAAUGACGUUAGUUAUACUAUAAUUAGGAAGUUUGUAACAAAGACCCACAUCCUGUAUAACACUUCUCGCUAGACGAUUUAUGAAAAGGGAAAAGUGUGACAGGACGUGAGUGUAUUGCUAGAGGAUUAACACGAAAAGAGCAAAAUAUUUUGCUAGAUUUAAAACCUGAAUCAGUCUAAACGAUUAUAAUAUUAUCUAUUAAGAAUUAAUUAAAGUAAAAUUGCCAUUUAUUAUUCAACUUUCUGUUGCAGGACUUGGGUUAAGUCAAGAUUUUUGGCAGUGGCUAUUCUGAAGGUUGUGUCAUUAUUACUAGUCAACCUUUGGUAAAAUAAGUAAAGUUUUACUUGCGAUGGGAAACAU